AGCAGUCGCCGCGGUAAUACAGAGGGUGCGAGCGUUAAUCGGAUUUACUGGGCGUAAAGCGUGCGUAGGCGGCUUUUUAAGUCGGAUGUGAAAUCCCUGAGCUUAACUUAGGAAUUGCAUUCGAUACUGGGAAGCUAGAGUAUGGGAGAGGAUGGUAGAAUUCCAGGUGUAGCGGUGAAAUGCGUAGAGAUCUGGAGGAAUACCGAUGGCGAAGGCAGCCAUCUGGCCUAAUACUGACGCUGAGGUACGAAAGCAUGGGGAGCAAACAGGAUUAGAGACCCCCGUAGUCCCUGUCUCUUAUAC
Molecule: ribosomal RNA, 303 nt
Filed under: uncultured bacterium
Lineage: Bacteria
Description: partial 16S ribosomal RNA
Rfam family: Bacterial small subunit ribosomal RNA
Source: RNAcentral